AGAUGGGUAUAAGAGACAGGUGAGUCAUCGAAUCUUUGAACGCACAUUGCACCCUCUGGUAUUCCGGGGGGUAUGCCUGUUCGAGCGUCAUUUCAACCCUCAAGCUCAGCUUGGUAUUGGGUGUCACCUGGCAAUGGUGCACCUUAAAAUCAGUGGCGGUGCCAUCUGGCUUCAAGCGUAGUAAUUCUCUCGCUUUGGAUGUUUGGAUGUGUGCCUGCCAUCAACUCCUAAUUUAUCAAAAGGUUGACCUCGGAUCAGGUAGGGAUACCCGCUGAACUUAAGCAUAUCAAUAAGCGGAGG
RNAcentral lists this unclassified non-coding RNA (300 nucleotides) under uncultured Rhytismatales. RNAcentral's name for it is "sequence contains 5.8S rRNA gene, ITS2". The stretch from base 1 to 90 matches the Rfam family "5.8S ribosomal RNA", at positions 58 to 154 of the family's 154-position model. The record is from RNAcentral. Lineage: Eukaryota; Fungi; Ascomycota; Leotiomycetes; Rhytismatales.